RNAcentral lists this ribosomal RNA (253 nucleotides) under uncultured bacterium. Its description in RNAcentral is "partial 16S ribosomal RNA". It matches the Rfam family "Bacterial small subunit ribosomal RNA", at positions 524 to 776 of the family's 1533-position model. The record is from RNAcentral.
UACAGAGGGGGCAAGCGUUGUUCGGAAUUACUGGGCGUAAAGGGCGCGUAGGCGGCCCGCUAAGUCGAACGUGAAAUCCCCGGGCUCAACCCGGGAACUGCGUCCGAUACUGGUGGGCUCGAAUCCGGGAGAGGGAUGCGGAAUUCCAGGUGUAGCGGUGAAAUGCGUAGAUAUCUGGAGGAACACCGGUGGCGAAGGCGGCAUCCUGGACCGGUAUUGACGCUGAGGCGCGAAAGCCAGGGGAGCGAACAGG